Molecule: ribosomal RNA, 496 nt
Filed under: uncultured bacterium
Lineage: Bacteria
Description: partial 16S ribosomal RNA
Rfam family: Bacterial small subunit ribosomal RNA
Source: RNAcentral
AUGAACGCUGGCGGCGUGCCUAAUACAUGCAAGUCGAGCGAACAGAUGAGGAGCUUGCUCCUCUGGCGUUAGCGGCGGACGGGUGAGUAACACGUGGAUAACCUACCUAUAAGACUGGGAUAACUUCGGGAAACCGGAGCUAAUACCGGAUAAUAUAUUGAACCGCAUGGUUCAAUAGUGAAAGACGGUUUUGCUGUCACUUAUAGAUGGAUCCGCGCCGCAUUAGCUAGUUGGUAAGGUAACGGCUUACCAAGGCAACGAUGCGUAGCCGACCUGAGAGGGUGAUCGGCCACACUGGAACUGAGAUACGGUCCAGACUCCUACGGGAGGCAGCAGUAGGGAAUCUUCCGCAAUGGGCGAAAGCCUGACGGAGCAACGCCGCGUGAGUGAUGAAGGUCUUCGGAUCGUAAAACUCUGUUAUUAGGGAAGAACAAAUGUGUAAGUAACUAUGCACGUCUUGACGGUACCUAAUCAGAAAGCCACGGCUAACUACGUG